GACGAACGCUGGCGGCGUGCUUAACACAUGCAAGUCGAACGGAAAGGCCCUGCUUUUGUGGGGUGCUCGAGUGGCGAACGGGUGAGUAACACGUGAGUAACCUGCCCUUGACUUUGGGAUAACUUCAGGAAACUGGGGCUAAUACCGGAUAGGAGCUCCUGCUGCAUGGUGGGGGUUGGAAAGUUUCGGCGGUUGGGGAUGGACUCGCGGCUUAUCAGCUUGUUGGUGGGGUAGUGGCUUACCAAGGCUUUGACGGGUAGCCGGCCUGAGAGGGUGACCGGCCACAUUGGGACUGAGAUACGGCCCAGACUACUACGGGAGGCAGCAGUGGGGAAUAUUGCACAAUGGGCGGAAGCCUGAUGCAGCAACGCCGCGUGCGGGAUGACGGCCUUCGAGUUGUAAACCGAUUUCGCCUGUGACGAAGCGUGAGUGACGGUAAUGGGUAAAGAAGCACCGGCUAACUACGUG
RNAcentral lists this ribosomal RNA (468 nucleotides) under uncultured bacterium. Its description in RNAcentral is "partial 16S ribosomal RNA". It matches the Rfam family "Bacterial small subunit ribosomal RNA", at positions 28 to 507 of the family's 1533-position model. The record is from RNAcentral.